UCCUAUAUUAUUUGUGGUUAACGAAAAUAAGAGUUGGAGCUGGCAUGGGCGUGUAGAGAGAGUAUGAAUGGUCCCCAGCCGCAAAGCUUACUUUUUUUCUUUAGACUCCGACCGGUGUCCGUGGUUCGGCCGACACCCAUCUUCAUCUGUCCUUCUCUCUCUCAAUCUAUUCACGUUUCUUUUCUUUUUUUAUUCUCUUUUUGCCUUCUUAAUAAUUUAUAAAUACAUUGGAAUGCAAUUAUUAGUAAUGUGAUGGUAUGCCCACGAGAAUGCGCGCAGUCACGCACACGAGGACGCCACCAUAUCCUCUCAUAACUUUCCCGAUCAUGAUGAUCUUUCAGUCUCUCAUUUUACCUUAUUCACGUAAAAACACUUGUCGGAAGUAGAAACUGAUAGUUACUCGCCGAAUCUGUAUGAAAAUUUAGUUAAUCAAAAUGAAAUACAAUGUCGACGUAUAAACCUUAAUAUAUAAUAUAUCUUUC
This 482-nucleotide long non-coding RNA is filed under the name Brassica rapa (field mustard). RNAcentral describes it as "long non-coding RNA (BRAP_LNC005429)". Lineage: Eukaryota; Viridiplantae; Streptophyta; Magnoliopsida; Brassicales; Brassicaceae. The record is from RNAcentral.